Non-coding RNA from Camellia sinensis, 935 nucleotides. NCBI's taxonomy places the organism in Eukaryota, Viridiplantae, Streptophyta, Magnoliopsida, Ericales, Theaceae. The record is from RefSeq and is a predicted model, not a curated record.
AAUCUAUACCAGAAUCUUUUACCUCAGGUCCAAGAUUCAAAUGCUACUUCAUAAAAAUUUGUUGAAAAUGAUUCACACUGUCCUUAUUUAUGAGCAACCAAGGUCUUGGAUGUUUCAGAAUUAAUUGUAGGACUUGGAUAGGAGGCUUGAAAUUUGGCUUUCCAAUUUGGCCUCUUAAAUGCCUAGGAAGCUAUAACCCUUGAACGAUGCCUUGAUACAACAAAUUCUUUAGGGAGUACCAAAAGAGGAAUAAAAAACUAAAAUAAUACAUUUGAGAACUUUAGAUUAAAGUACAGAAACUACAAAUCUGGUAAAAUAGUGUUUUAAUGUCAGAAGAUAAAGUCUAGAUUGAAACAGAGAAUGUUGUAUUCUCAAUUUGCAUAUUUUGAAAGAUUUAAUAUACAACUAGAGGUUAACCAAUGCAGUGGUUUCAGAUAAAGGGGAAAUACAGCACCAUAAAAAGUAUUUGAUAACAUUCAAAUAUGUUUUCCUCAUAUUUUAACUUUUUUCAAUAUCUAAUAAAUUAAAUCUGCCGAUUCAUCCCCUCGAUAGCUUAAAAUUUUUGAUCACUGGACCAUAGUCUCAAUAUUUUUUUACAGAAGCUUAUAGCUGCUUCCGGGCAUGUUUACUGAUCAUUUUUUACUUGAUGGGUUUUCUCUGCAGAGCUUGAAAACAUAUCUUGGAGAAGAAAAACUCAAAAUUGCAGCCUUGCAGCCAUUGGAUGGUAGUGAUGGGGAUCAAGGAGGAGAAGAGGCCUUCACACAUAUUUCAGGCAACGGAGGCGUCAACCGUAAACUAAUUUUGAAUUAUUAGGAAUUUUAGUUUCAAUAGGAUUUUCUUUAUAUUUCGUUAUAUUUUCUAUGUUUUGUUUACUUAUUGGACAGCGACUAGGUGUAUAUAUGCAAGGCAUGGUUUAUUUAAAUAAUACUUUUUUU